This 292-nucleotide ribosomal RNA is filed under the name uncultured bacterium. RNAcentral's name for it is "partial 16S ribosomal RNA". It matches the Rfam family "Bacterial small subunit ribosomal RNA", at positions 505 to 796 of the family's 1533-position model. The record is from RNAcentral.
GUGCCAGCCGCCGCGGUAAUACGAAGGGGGCUAGCGUUGUUCGGAAUCACUGGGCGUAAAGGGCGCGUAGGCGGCUUUAUAAGUCGGGGGUGAAAGCCUGUGGCUCAACCACAGAAUUGCCUUCGAUACUGUAGAGCUUGAGACCGGAAGAGGUAAGUGGAACUGCGAGUGUAGAGGUGAAAUUCGUAGAUAUUCGCAAGAACACCAGUGGCGAAGGCGGCUUACUGGUCCGGUUCUGACGCUGAGGCGCGAAAGCGUGGGGAGCAAACAGGAUUAGAUACCCCCGUAGUCC